Molecule: ribosomal RNA, 423 nt
Filed under: uncultured bacterium
Lineage: Bacteria
Description: bacterial SSU rRNA
Rfam family: Bacterial small subunit ribosomal RNA
Source: RNAcentral
UAAGGAAUAUUGGUCAAUGGGCGCAAGCCUGAACCAGCCAUGCCGCGUGCAGGAAGACGGCCCUACGGGUUGUAAACUGCUUUUGUACCGGAAUAAACCUGCUCUCGUGAGAGCAGCUGAACGUACGGUAAGAAUAAGGAUCGGCUAACUCCGUGCCAGCAGCCGCGGUAAUACGGAGGAUCCAAGCGUUAUCCGGAUUUAUUGGGUUUAAAGGGUGCGUAGGCGGCUUUUUAAGUCAGGGGUGAAAACUUGCGGCUCAACCGUAAGCUUGCCUUUGAUACUGAGGAGCUUGAAUACACUUGAGGUAGGCGGAAUGUGACAAGUAGCGGUGAAAUGCAUAGAUAUGUCACAGAACACCAAUUGCGAAGGCAGCUUACUAAAGUGAGAUUGACGCUGAGGCACGAAAGCGUGGGGAUCAAACAG